This 2536-nucleotide ribosomal RNA is filed under the name Shigella flexneri. RNAcentral's name for it is "partial 23S ribosomal RNA". It matches the Rfam family "Bacterial large subunit ribosomal RNA", at positions 421 to 2925 of the family's 2925-position model. Lineage: Bacteria; Pseudomonadati; Pseudomonadota; Gammaproteobacteria; Enterobacterales; Enterobacteriaceae. The record is from RNAcentral.
GACACGUGGUAUCCUGUCUGAAUAUGGGGGGACCAUCCUCCAAGGCUAAAUACUCCUGACUGACCGAUAGUGAACCAGUACCGUGAGGGAAAGGCGAAAAGAACCCCGGCGAGGGGAGUGAAAAAGAACCUGAAACCGUGUACGUACAAGCAGUGGGAGCACGCUUAGGCGUGUGACUGCGUACCUUUUGUAUAAUGGGUCAGCGACUUAUAUUCUGUAGCAAGGUUAACCGAAUAGGGGAGCCGAAGGGAAACCGAGUCUUAACUGGGCGUUAAGUUGCAGGGUAUAGACCCGAAACCCGGUGAUCUAGCCAUGGGCAGGUUGAAGGUUGGGUAACACUAACUGGAGGACCGAACCGACUAAUGUUGAAAAAUUAGCGGAUGACUUGUGGCUGGGGGUGAAAGGCCAAUCAAACCGGGAGAUAGCUGGUUCUCCCCGAAAGCUAUUUAGGUAGCGCCUCGUGAAUUCAUCUCCGGGGGUAGAGCACUGUUUCGGCAAGGGGGUCAUCCCGACUUACCAACCCGAUGCAAACUGCGAAUACCGGAGAAUGUUAUCACGGGAGACACACGGCGGGUGCUAACGUCCGUCGUGAAGAGGGAAACAACCCAGACCGCCAGCUAAGGUCCCAAAGUCAUGGUUAAGUGGGAAACGAUGUGGGAAGGCCCAGACAGCCAGGAUGUUGGCUUAGAAGCAGCCAUCAUUUAAAGAAAGCGUAAUAGCUCACUGGUCGAGUCGGCCUGCGCGGAAGAUGUAACGGGGCUAAACCAUGCACCGAAGCUGCGGCAGCGACGCUUAUGCGUUGUUGGGUAGGGGAGCGUUCUGUAAGCCUGUGAAGGUGUGCUGUGAGGUAUGCUGGAGGUAUCAGAAGUGCGAAUGCUGACAUAAGUAACGAUAAAGCGGGUGAAAAGCCCGCUCGCCGGAAGACCAAGGGUUCCUGUCCAACGUUAAUCGGGGCAGGGUGAGUCGACCCCUAAGGCGAGGCCGAAAGGCGUAGUCGAUGGGAAACAGGUUAAUAUUCCUGUACUUGGUGUUACUGCGAAGGGGGGACGGAGAAGGCUAUGUUGGCCGGGCGACGGUUGUCCCGGUUUAAGCGUGUAGGCUGGUUUUCCAGGCAAAUCCGGAAAAUCAAGGCCGAGGCGUGAUGACGAGGCACUACGGUGCUGAAGCAACAAAUGCCCUGCUUCCAGGAAAAGCCUCUAAGCAUCAGGUAACAUCAAAUCGUACCCCAAACCGACACAGGUGGUCAGGUAGAGAAUACCAAGGCGCUUGAGAGAACUCGGGUGAAGGAACUAGGCAAAAUGGUGCCGUAACUUCGGGAGAAGGCACGCUGAUACGUAGGUGAAGCGACUUGCUCGUGGAGCUGAAAUCAGUCGAAGAUACCAGCUGGCUGCAACUGUUUAUUAAAAACACAGCACUGUGCAAACACGAAAGUGGACGUAUACGGUGUGACGCCUGCCCGGUGCCGGAAGGUUAAUUGAUGGGGUUAGCGCAAGCGAAGCUCUUGAUCGAAGCCCCGGUAAACGGCGGCCGUAACUAUAACGGUCCUAAGGUAGCGAAAUUCCUUGUCGGGUAAGUUCCGACCUGCACGAAUGGCGUAAUGAUGGCCAGGCUGUCUCCACCCGAGACUCAGUGAAAUUGAACUCGCUGUGAAGAUGCAGUGUACCCGCGGCAAGACGGAAAGACCCCGUGAACCUUUACUAUAGCUUGACACUGAACAUUGAGCCUUGAUGUGUAGGAUAGGUGGGAGGCUUUGAAGUGUGGACGCCAGUCUGCAUGGAGCCGACCUUGAAAUACCACCCUUUAAUGUUUGAUGUUCUAACGUGGACCCGUGAUCCGGGUUGCGGACAGUGUCUGGUGGGUAGUUUGACUGGGGCGGUCUCCUCCUAAAGAGUAACGGAGGAGCACGAAGGUUGGCUAAUCCUGGUCGGACAUCAGGAGGUUAGUGCAAUGGCAUAAGCCAGCUUGACUGCGAGCGUGACGGCGCGAGCAGGUGCGAAAGCAGGUCAUAGUGAUCCGGUGGUUCUGAAUGGAAGGGCCAUCGCUCAACGGAUAAAAGGUACUCCGGGGAUAACAGGCUGAUACCGCCCAAGAGUUCAUAUCGACGGCGGUGUUUGGCACCUCGAUGUCGGCUCAUCACAUCCUGGGGCUGAAGUAGGUCCCAAGGGUAUGGCUGUUCGCCAUUUAAAGUGGUACGCGAGCUGGGUUUAGAACGUCGUGAGACAGUUCGGUCCCUAUCUGCCGUGGGCGCUGGAGAACUGAGGGGGGCUGCUCCUAGUACGAGAGGACCGGAGUGGACGCAUCACUGGUGUUCGGGUUGUCAUGCCAAUGGCACUGCCCGGUAGCUAAAUGCGGAAGAGAUAAGUGCUGAAAGCAUCUAAGCACGAAACUUGCCCCGAGAUGAGUUCUCCCUGACCCUUUAAGGGUCCUGAAGGAACGUUGAAGACGACGACGUUGAUAGGCCGGGUGUGUAAGCGCAGCGAUGCGUUGAGCUAACCGGUACUAAUGAACCGUGAGGCUUAACCUUACAACGCCGAAG